Molecule: ribosomal RNA, 834 nt
Filed under: uncultured bacterium
Lineage: Bacteria
Description: bacterial SSU rRNA
Rfam family: Bacterial small subunit ribosomal RNA
Source: RNAcentral
GUAUCGAACCUGCCCCCUUCAGGAAUAGCCCAUGGAAACGUGGAUUAAUGCCCCAUGGCACCCAGAGACCACCUGGUCAUUGGGUUAAAGAUUUAUCGGAAGGGGAUGGCGAUGCGUGCCAUUAGCUUGUUGGUAAGGUAACGGCUUACCAAGGCAACGAUGGCUAGGGGCCCUGAGAGGGGGAUCCCCCACACUGGUACUGAGACACGGACCAGACUCCUACGGGAGGCAGCAGUGAGGAAUAUUGGACAAUGGUGGGAACACUGAUCCAGCCAUGCCGCGUGCAGGAUGACGGCCCUAUGGGUUGUAAACUGCUUUUACAUGGGAAGAAACCUCCCCUUGCGAGGGGAUCUGACGGUACCAUGAGAAUAAGGACCGGCUAACUCCGUGCCAGCAGCCGCGGUAAUACGGAGGGUCCGAGCGUUAUCCGGAAUCAUUGGGUUUAAAGGGUCCGUAGUGGGCCAUUAAGUCAGGGGUGAAAGUCUGCGGCUCAACCGUAGAAUUGCCUUUGAUACUGGUGGUCUUGAGUCGUUGUGGGGUUGCCGGAACAUGUGGUGUAGCGGUGAAAUGCAUAGAUAUCACAUAGAACACCGAUCGCGAAGCAGGUGACCAACAACGUACUGACACUGAUGGACGAAAGCGUGGGUAGCGAACGGGAUUAGAUACCCCGGUAGUCCACGCCGUAAACGAUGGAUACUAGCUGUGGGGUUUUCGGACUCCGUGGCCAAGCGAAAGUGAUAAGUAUCCACCUGGGGAGUACGUUCGCAAGAAUGAAACUCAAGGAAUUGACGGGGGCCCGCACAAGCGUGGAGCAUGUGGUUUAAUUCGAUGAUA